This 273-nucleotide ribosomal RNA is filed under the name uncultured bacterium. RNAcentral's name for it is "partial 16S ribosomal RNA". It matches the Rfam family "Bacterial small subunit ribosomal RNA", at positions 524 to 796 of the family's 1533-position model. The record is from RNAcentral.
UACGUAGGUGGCAAGCGUUGUCCGGAAUUAUUGGGCGUAAAGCGCGCGCAGGCGGUCUCUUAAGUCUGAUGUGAAAGCCCACGGCUCAACCGUGGAGGGUCAUUGGAAACUGGGGGACUUGAGUGCAGAAGAGGAGAGCGGAAUUCCACGUGUAGCGGUGAAAUGCGUAGAUAUGUGGAGGAACACCAGUGGCGAAGGCGGCUCUCUGGUCUGUAACUGACGCUGAGGCGCGAAAGCGUGGGGAGCAAACAGGAUUAGAAACCCCCGUAGUCC